GCCUACGGCCAUGCUACCCUGAACACGCCCGAUCUUGUCUGAUCUCGGAAGCUAAGCAGGGUCAGGCGUGGUUGGUACUUGGAUGGGAGAAAUUCAAAAUGGUUAUUUUAAAGCUUCCACUUUGCUUGAGCCA
RNAcentral lists this ribosomal RNA (133 nucleotides) under Cebus imitator (Panamanian white-faced capuchin). Lineage: Eukaryota; Metazoa; Chordata; Mammalia; Primates; Cebidae. The record is from RNAcentral.